GUCCGCCGGCGCCGCGGGCCCCUUCUGGGCCUCGGGUUCGCUUCCGGCCGCGGCUUCCGAGGAAGCGGUGUCCGACGCCCGGAGGGCCCCGCGCCGCGCCCCCGCGC
Molecule: unclassified non-coding RNA, 107 nt
Filed under: Macacine alphaherpesvirus 1
Lineage: Duplodnaviria; Heunggongvirae; Peploviricota; Herviviricetes; Herpesvirales; Orthoherpesviridae
Also listed under: 1 other name
Source: RNAcentral